AUUUUAAUAUAUAUAUUAAAAUUGGAACAAUACAGAGAAGACUAGCAUGGCCCCUAUGCGGAAAUGACAUGCGAAUUCAUGAAGCAUUUAUUUUU
This 95-nucleotide small nuclear RNA is filed under the name Neogale vison (American mink). The record is from RNAcentral. Lineage: Eukaryota; Metazoa; Chordata; Mammalia; Carnivora; Mustelidae.